AUUGAGGUCUAUCCUGAUGGGGCUUCUGUUUAUAGCCACACAUCGUUGGAAAUGCCUCCUAUAGUAAUUGUGUGGUUUUACUUUACUCACAGAGCUAUUUCUUAGGUCUGUGGGGAGUAACUACAAUACAUUU
Molecule: small nucleolar RNA, 133 nt
Filed under: Castor canadensis (American beaver)
Lineage: Eukaryota; Metazoa; Chordata; Mammalia; Rodentia; Castoridae
Source: RNAcentral